UUACACCAAUCAAGCAUCGCUUGGUAUUAGGCCCUCGCCCCCGCCUCGCGGGGCGUGCCUCAAACACCUCGGCGGAGCACACCGGCUUUGGGCGUAGUAGAAUUUUUCGACGCCCGUGGGACGGUGGGGGUCUUGCCGCGCAAGCAAACAAUUUUUUAAAGGUUGACCUCGGAUCAGGUAGGGAUACCCGCUGAACUUAA
RNAcentral lists this unclassified non-coding RNA (200 nucleotides) under soil metagenome. Its description in RNAcentral is "partial contains internal transcribed spacer 2 and large subunit ribosomal RNA". The record is from RNAcentral.